RNAcentral lists this transfer RNA (73 nucleotides) under Ailuropoda melanoleuca (giant panda). It matches the Rfam family "tRNA". From Rfam's summary of the family: Transfer RNA (tRNA) molecules are approximately 80 nucleotides in length. Their secondary structure includes four short double-helical elements and three loops (D, anti-codon, and T loops). Lineage: Eukaryota; Metazoa; Chordata; Mammalia; Carnivora; Ursidae. The record is from Rfam by way of RNAcentral.
GCCUGGCUGGCUCAGUUGGAAGAGCAUGGGACUCUUGAUCUUGGGGUCAUGGGCUCAAGUCCCAUGUUGGCUG